RNAcentral lists this ribosomal RNA (578 nucleotides) under Bos taurus (domestic cattle). Its description in RNAcentral is "similar to 12S ribosomal RNA". It matches the Rfam family "Bacterial small subunit ribosomal RNA", at positions 470 to 1287 of the family's 1533-position model. Lineage: Eukaryota; Metazoa; Chordata; Mammalia; Artiodactyla; Bovidae. The record is from RNAcentral.
UGACUAAGUUAUAUUUAAUUAGGGUUGGUAAAUCUCUGGUGCCAAGCCACCGCGGUCAUACGAUUAACCCAAGGCUAACAGGAGUACGGCGGUAAAACGUGUUAAAGCACCCAUACCAAUAGGGUUAAAUUCUAACUAAGCUGUAAAAAGCCAUGAUUAAAAUAAAAAUAAAUGACGAAAGUGACCCUACAAUAGCCGACGCACUAUAGCUAAGACCCAACUGGGAUUAGAUACCCCACUAUGCUUAGCCCUAAACACAGAUAAUUACAUAAACAAAUUAUUCGCCAGAGUACUACUAGCAACAGCUUAAACUCAAAGGACUUGCGGUGCUUUAUAUCCUUCUAGAGGAGCCUGUUCUAUAAUCGAUAAACCCCGAUAAACCUCACCAUUCUUGCUAAUACAGUCUAUAUACCGCCAUCUUCAGCAAAACCCUAAAAAGGAAAAAAAGUAAGCGUAAUUAUGAUACAUAAAAACGUUAGGUCAAGGUGUAACCUAUGAAAUGGGAAGAAAUGGGCUACAUUCUCUACACCAAGAGAAUCAAGCACGAAAGUUAUUAUGAAACCAAUAACCAAAGGAGG